Molecule: non-coding RNA, 105 nt
Filed under: pig gut metagenome
Description: FMN riboswitch (RFN element)
Rfam family: FMN riboswitch aptamer (RFN element)
About the family: The RFN element is a highly conserved domain that is found frequently in the 5'-untranslated regions of prokaryotic mRNAs that encode for flavin mononucleotide (FMN) biosynthesis and transport proteins. This element is a metabolite-dependent riboswitch that directly binds FMN in the absence of proteins.
Source: RNAcentral
GUUUCGGGGCGGAGUGAAAUUCUCCACCGGCGGUGAAAGUCCGCGAGCCUUUUGGGUUGAACCGGUGCAAUUCCGGUACCGACGGUAUAGUCCGGAUGAAAGAAU